UACGGGGGGGGCAAGCGUUGUUCGGAAUUACUGGACGUAAAGAGCUUGUAGGUGGUUUGUCGCGUUGUUCGUGAAAUCUCACGGCUUAACUGUGAGCGUGCGGGCGAUACGGGCAGACUAGAGUACUGCAGGGGAGACUGGAAUUCCUGGUGUAGCGGUGGAAUGCGCAGAUAUCAGGAGGAACACCGGUGGCGAAGGCGGGUCUCUGGGCAGUAACUGACGCUGAGAAGCGAAAGCGUGGGGAGCGAACAGG
Molecule: ribosomal RNA, 253 nt
Filed under: uncultured bacterium
Lineage: Bacteria
Description: partial 16S ribosomal RNA
Rfam family: Bacterial small subunit ribosomal RNA
Source: RNAcentral